This 260-nucleotide ribosomal RNA is filed under the name uncultured archaeon. RNAcentral's name for it is "partial 16S ribosomal RNA". It matches the Rfam family "Archaeal small subunit ribosomal RNA", at positions 748 to 1006 of the family's 1478-position model. The record is from RNAcentral.
CAGCCCUAAACGAUGCGCGUUAGGUGUAUCGGUGACCACGAGUCACCGAGGUGCCGAAGGGAAACCGUGAAACGUGCCGCCUGGGAAGUACGGUCGCAAGGCUGAAACUUAAAGGAAUUGGCGGGGGAGCACAACAACGGGUGGAGCUUGCGGUUUAAUUGGAUUCAACGCCGGAAAUCUUACCGGGACCGACAGCAACAUGAAGGCCAAGCUGAAGACUUUGCCGGAUUAGCUGAGAGGUGGUGCAUGCGUAGUCGUGU